Myodes glareolus (Bank vole) is the source of this 433-nucleotide long non-coding RNA. RefSeq lists it as uncharacterized. NCBI's taxonomy places the organism in Eukaryota, Metazoa, Chordata, Mammalia, Rodentia, Cricetidae. The record is from RefSeq and is a predicted model, not a curated record.
CAUGAAAUGAGCAGACAGGAAGCAAAAGGCCCUUUACCCACACCGACUCACAGGGCUUGGCUUUGCUCCAGGUUCUGCCUCUCUCUAGCCGCACAUUCGCCGGCACCCUAGAUAUUCAGCCUCGCACAUUGCUCUGGGCCUUGCAUCGAGACAUGUGAAGUUGGCCAUCAACGCCCAAUGUGAUACCAUGCAGUUUCUUGCCAUUCGGAGCUAGAAUUCUGUUGAGUGCUAUACUCAUCGAGGGGCUUUAGACCUUCCCUGCGAGGCUGACAUUCAUUCAGGCUUAGCAUAGAGGACUUCCUGGAAUUUGCAGAGGAAGUAAUGAGGAGUUGCCAGGUGACAAGUCAUCAUAAUGUGGCCCCCAACAUUUGAAGGCCACCUGAGAACACUCAUCUGGCGAUGGAUGGAGAUGGAGGCGGAGAACCACGUUGGA